UUUUAUAUCUUUCUUUUGUAAAAUAUUUAGAUUUUUGAUAGGGUUUGGAAAGGAAUUUAAAAUUUGUUUUUUGAACUGGAUUAGUACCCAGGUAAACAAAGUUUAUUAAUACGGGAGUAAAGUUUUGUUUAAACCGAAAAAAUAUUGACUGACUUUGGAUUUUUCUUUGGAAUAUGUAUUUUUUGGAUGGCCCUCCUUUUUGGUAGAUUUUGUUGGCACAUGUAUGAUUGUUUAGUUUUUAUUUUUUCUUGUGAUGCUUUUCUUUUUGGUUGAAAAACAGAUAGAUAUUUGGCUUAUAAAUUUUGUUUUAUGUAUUACUAUUUUAAAUUUUUUUUGGAUAUUUUUAUUGAAUUUUUUAUUGAAAUUGGAAAAGAAAGUAAUUUUUUUUUAAUGUGGUUGUGAAUUUAAUAAGUGAAGUGGUACAAACCAUCCGUCAA
RNAcentral lists this ribosomal RNA (437 nucleotides) under Cercopithifilaria rugosicauda. Its description in RNAcentral is "partial 12S ribosomal RNA". The record is from RNAcentral. Lineage: Eukaryota; Metazoa; Nematoda; Chromadorea; Rhabditida; Onchocercidae.